Molecule: transfer RNA, 75 nt
Filed under: Oscillochloris sp.
Lineage: Bacteria; Bacillati; Chloroflexota; Chloroflexia; Chloroflexales; Oscillochloridaceae
Description: tRNA-Asn
Rfam family: tRNA
About the family: Transfer RNA (tRNA) molecules are approximately 80 nucleotides in length. Their secondary structure includes four short double-helical elements and three loops (D, anti-codon, and T loops).
Source: RNAcentral
UCCCCGAUAGCUCAACGGUAGAGCAUCUGACUGUUAAUCAGAGGGUUCGUGGUUCGAAUCCACGUCGGGGAGCCA